UACGGAGGAUCCAAGCGUUAUCCGGAAUCAUUGGGUUUAAAGGGUCCGUAGGCGGUUUAAUAAGUCAGUGGUGAAAGCCCAUCGCUUAACGAUGGAACGGCCAUUGAUACUGUUAGACUUGAAUUAUUAGGAAGUAACUAGAAUAUGUAGUGUAGCGGUGAAAUGCUUAGAUAUUACAUGGAAUACCAAUUGCGAAGGCAGGUUACUACUAAUGGAUUGACGCUGAUGGACGAAAGCGUGGGGAGCGAACAGG
Molecule: ribosomal RNA, 253 nt
Filed under: uncultured bacterium
Lineage: Bacteria
Description: partial 16S ribosomal RNA
Rfam family: Bacterial small subunit ribosomal RNA
Source: RNAcentral